This 519-nucleotide ribosomal RNA is filed under the name Triticum aestivum (bread wheat). RNAcentral describes it as "partial small subunit ribosomal RNA". Lineage: Eukaryota; Viridiplantae; Streptophyta; Magnoliopsida; Poales; Poaceae. The record is from RNAcentral.
AUGUUUUUUGUGGAUCAACCUCAUCAAGUUUAUCCAAUGGCAGCCAUACUCGAUUUCCUUGUUCGUUCAUGUGCCAAAAAAUUGCAAGAAAUCAUUACAGAAGAGGCAGUUCUGAUCCUAGGAGUAAAAGAAGACCUCAAAGCACUACAGCGAACAAUAGUCCAGAUACAAUGCUUUCUCAGUAAUGCUGAGCAAAGGAGGAUCGAAGAGUCAGCAGUCAACAAUUGGCUUGGUGAGUUGAGAGGUGCUAUGUUUUAUGCUGAUGAUAUUAUCGACUUGGCGAGAUCUGAAGGAAGCAAGCUUCUAAUGGAACGCCCUUCAUCAUCAAGAAAGUCAAAUAAUUGUGGUGGCAUUUUGUUUUUCAAUUGCAUUCCUAAUGUUCAGAAGCGUCUCAAGAUUGCUGUUCAAAUCCGAGACUUCAAUGCGGAACUUGAGAAGAUUUCAAGGCUGGGUGAAAGAUUUCUAAAGCUACAGAAUAUGCAGCCUAAGGAAGAAGUUCCGAGUGUGAAGCAUAUCUGA